UACAGAGGUCUCAAGCGUUGUUCGGAUUCAUUGGGCGUAAAGGGUGCGUAGGCGGCGCGGUAAGUCGGGUGUGAAAUCUCGGGGCUUAACUCCGAAACUGCAUUCGAUACUGCCGUGCUUGAGGACUGGAGAGGAGACUGGAAUUUACGGUGUAGCGGUGAAAUGCGUAGAUAUCAGGAGGAACACCGGUGGCGAAGGCGGCUACCUGGACAGAAACUGACGCUGAGGCGCGAAAGCUAGGGGAGCAAACAGG
RNAcentral lists this ribosomal RNA (253 nucleotides) under uncultured bacterium. RNAcentral describes it as "partial 16S ribosomal RNA". It matches the Rfam family "Bacterial small subunit ribosomal RNA", at positions 524 to 776 of the family's 1533-position model. The record is from RNAcentral.